CAGGCUAACACAUGCAGUCGAACGGUAACAGGGAGCUUGCUCCGCUGACGAGUGGCGAACGGGUGAGUAAUGUAUCGGAACGUACCAUUCAGUGGGGGAUAACGUAGCGAAAGUUACGCUAAUACCGCAUAUUCUGUGCGCAGGAAAGCAGGGGAUCGCAAGACCUUGCGCUGAUUGAGCGGCCGAUAUCAGAUUAGCUAGUUGGUGAGGUAAAAGCACACCAAGGCGACGAUCUGUAGCGGGUCUGAGAGGAUGAUCCGCCACACUGGAACUGAGACACGGUCAGACUCCUACGGGAGGCAGCAGUGGGGAAUUUUGGACAAUGGGGGCAACCCUGAUCCAGCCAUGCCGCGUGAGUGAAGAAGGCCUUCGGGUUGUAAAGCUCUUUCAGCCGGGAAGAAAAUGCAUGGGUUAAUACCCUGUGCAGAUGACGGUACCGGAAUAAGAAGCACCGGCUAACUACGUGCCAGCAGCCGCGGUAAUACGUAGGGUGCGAGCGUUAAUCGGAAUUACUGGGCGUAAAGCGUGCGCAGGCGGUUUUGUAAGACAGGCGUGAAAUCCCCGGGCUUAACCUGGGAACUGCGUUUGUGACUGCAAGGCUAGAGUACGGCAGAGGGGGGUGGAAUUCCACGUGUAGCAGUGAAAUGCGUAGAGAUGUGGAGGAACACCAAUGGCGAAGGCAGCCCCCUGGGUCGAUACUGACGCUCAUGCACGAAAGCGUGGGUAGCAAACAGGAUUAGAUACCCUGGUAGUCCACGCCCUAAACGAUGUCAACUAGGUGUUGGGAGGGUAAAACCUUUUAGUACCGUACGUAACGCGAGAAGUUGACCGCCUGGGGAGUACGGCCGCAAGGUUAAAACUCAAAGGAAUUGACGGGGACCCGCACAAGCGGUGGAUGAUGUGGAUUAAUUCGAUGCAACGCGAAAAACCUUACCUACCCUUGACAUGUCAGGAACUUUCCAGAGAUGGAUUGGUGCCCGAAAGGGAGCCUGAACACAGGUGCUGCAUGGCUGUCGUCAGCUCGUGUCGUGAGAUGUUGGGUUAAGUCCCGCAACGAGCGCAACCCUUGUCGUUAAUUGCCAUCAUUUAGUUGGGCACUUUAACGAGACUGCCGGUGACAAACCGGAGGAAGGUGGGGAUGACGUCAAGUCCUCAUGGCCCUUAUGGGUAGGGCUUCACACGUCAUACAAUGGUCGGUACAAAGGGUCGCCAACCCGCGAGGGGGAGCCAAUCCCAUAAAGCCGAUCGUAGUCCGGAUUGUAGGCUGCAACUCGCCUGCAUGAAGUCGGAAUCGCUAGUAAUCGUGGAUCAGCAUGUCACGGUGAAUACGUUCCCGGGUCUUGUACACACCGCCCGUC
This 1358-nucleotide ribosomal RNA is filed under the name uncultured beta proteobacterium. RNAcentral describes it as "bacterial SSU rRNA". It matches the Rfam family "Bacterial small subunit ribosomal RNA", at positions 43 to 1398 of the family's 1533-position model. The record is from RNAcentral. Lineage: Bacteria; Pseudomonadati; Pseudomonadota; Betaproteobacteria.